UACGAGAGCCUCGAGCGUUAUCCGGAAUUAUUGGGCGUAAAUGGUGCGUAGGUUGCUGUGUUAGUCUUUUGUCAAAGCCCCGGGCUUAACCUGGGAUACGCGAAAGAAACGGCACAGCUUGAAAGUGCGAGAGGCGUACGGAACUCAUGGUGUAGGGGUGAAAUCCGUUGAUAUCAUGGGGAACACCAAAAGCGAAAGCAGUACGCUGGCGCAUAUUUGACACUGAAGCACGAAAGCGUGGGUAGCGAAUGGG
RNAcentral lists this ribosomal RNA (253 nucleotides) under uncultured bacterium. Its description in RNAcentral is "partial 16S ribosomal RNA". It matches the Rfam family "Bacterial small subunit ribosomal RNA", at positions 524 to 776 of the family's 1533-position model. The record is from RNAcentral.